GGGUGGAGCAGCCUGGUAGCUCGUCGGGCUCAUAACCCGAAGGUCGUCGGUUCAAAUCCGGCCCCCGCAACCA
Molecule: transfer RNA, 73 nt
Filed under: Citrobacter freundii
Lineage: Bacteria; Pseudomonadati; Pseudomonadota; Gammaproteobacteria; Enterobacterales; Enterobacteriaceae
Also listed under: 15 other names
Description: tRNA-Met
Rfam family: tRNA
About the family: Transfer RNA (tRNA) molecules are approximately 80 nucleotides in length. Their secondary structure includes four short double-helical elements and three loops (D, anti-codon, and T loops). Further hydrogen bonds mediate the characteristic L-shaped molecular structure. tRNAs have two regions of fundamental functional importance: the anti-codon, which is responsible for specific mRNA codon recognition, and the 3' end, to which the tRNAs corresponding amino acid is attached (by aminoacyl-tRNA synthetases). tRNAs cope with the degeneracy of the genetic code in two manners: having more than one tRNA (with a specific anti-codon) for a particular amino acid; and 'wobble' base-pairing, i.e. permitting non-standard base-pairing at the 3rd anti-codon position.
Source: RNAcentral